This 496-nucleotide ribosomal RNA is filed under the name uncultured bacterium. RNAcentral's name for it is "partial 16S ribosomal RNA". It matches the Rfam family "Bacterial small subunit ribosomal RNA", at positions 28 to 506 of the family's 1533-position model. The record is from RNAcentral.
GAUGAACGCUGGCGGCGUGCCUAAUACAUGCCAGUCGAGCGAACGGACGAGAAGCUUGCUUCUCUGAUGUUAGCGGCGGACGGGUGAGUAACACGUGGAUAACCUACCUAUAAGACUGGGAUAACUUCGGAAAACCGGAGCUAAUACCGGAUAAUAUUUUGAACCGCAUGGUUCAAAAGUGAAAGACGGUCUUACUGUCACUUAUAGAUGGAUCCGCGCUGCAUUAGCUAGUUGGUAAGGUAACGGCUUACCAAGGCAACGAUGCAUAGCCGACCUGAGAGGGUGAUCGGCCACACUGGAACUGAGACACGGUCCAGACUCCUACGGGAGGCAGCAGUAGGGAAUCUUCCGCAAUGGGCGAAAGCCUGACGGAGCAACGCCGCGUGAGUGAUGAAGGUCUUCGGAUCGUAAAACUCUGUUAUUAGGGAAGAACAUAUGUGUAAGUAACUGUGCACAUCUUGACGGUACCUAAUCAGAAAGCCACGGCUAACUACGU